GCCGGACUAGCUCAAUUGGCAGAGCAGUUGACUCUUAAUCAAUUGGUUCUGGGUUCGAGUCCCAGGUCCGGUACCA
Molecule: transfer RNA, 76 nt
Filed under: Opitutia bacterium
Lineage: Bacteria; Pseudomonadati; Verrucomicrobiota; Opitutia
Also listed under: 1 other name
Description: tRNA-Lys
Rfam family: tRNA
About the family: Transfer RNA (tRNA) molecules are approximately 80 nucleotides in length. Their secondary structure includes four short double-helical elements and three loops (D, anti-codon, and T loops).
Source: RNAcentral